This 497-nucleotide ribosomal RNA is filed under the name uncultured bacterium. RNAcentral describes it as "partial 16S ribosomal RNA". It matches the Rfam family "Bacterial small subunit ribosomal RNA", at positions 28 to 507 of the family's 1533-position model. The record is from RNAcentral.
GAUGAACGCUGGCGGCGUGCCUAAUACAUGCAAGUCGAGCGAACAGACGAGGAGCUUGCUCCUCUGACGUUAGCGGCUGACGGGUGAGUAACACGUGGAUAACCUACCUAUAAGACGGGGAUAACUUCGGGAAACCGGAGCUACUACCGGCUAAUAUAUUGAACCGCAUGGUUCAGUGGUUAUAGACGGUUUUGCUGUCUCUAAUAGAUGGAUCCGCGCCGCAUUAGCUAGUUGGUAAGGUAACGGCUUACCAAGGCGACGAUGCGUAGCCGACCUGAGAGGAUGAUCGGCCACACUGGAACUGAGACACGGUCCAGACUCCUACGGGAGGCAGCAGUAGGGAAUCUUCCGCAAUGGGCGAAAGCCUGACGGAGCAACGCCGCGUGAGUGAUGAAGGUCUUCGGAUCGUAAAACUCUGUUAUUAGGGAAGAACAAAUGUGUAAGUAACUAUGCACGUCUUGACGGUACCUAAUCAGAAAGCCACGGCUAACUACGUG